GCCCGCUACAGAAACUUAAAGGAAUUGACGGACCCCGCACAAGCGGUGGAUCAUGUUGUUUAAUUCGAUGAUACGCGAAGAACCUUACCAGGUCUUGACAUCCCCCGCGAUGCUUUAGAGAUAAAGCGGAGGUAUUCGGGGAGACAGGUGGUGCAUGGUUGUCGUCAGCUCGUGUCGUGAGAUGUGGGUUAAGUCCCGCAACGAGCGCAACCCCUAUUGCUAGUUACCAUCAUUAAGUUGGGGACUCUAGCGAGACUGCCAGUGAUAAACUGGAGGAAGGUGGGGAUGACGUCAAAUCAUCAUGCCCCUUAUGACCUGGGCUACAAACGUGAUACAAUGGCUGGAACAAAGGGAUGCGAAGCAGUGAUGUGGAGCGAAACCCAUAAAAACAGUCUCAGUUCGGAUUGAAGUCUGCAACUCGACUUCAUGAAGUCGGAAUCGCUAGUAAUCGCGGAUCAGAACGCCGCGGUGAAUACGUUCUCGGGGUUU
RNAcentral lists this ribosomal RNA (489 nucleotides) under uncultured Acholeplasma sp. Its description in RNAcentral is "bacterial SSU rRNA". It matches the Rfam family "Bacterial small subunit ribosomal RNA", at positions 903 to 1382 of the family's 1533-position model. The record is from RNAcentral. Lineage: Bacteria; Bacillati; Mycoplasmatota; Mollicutes; Acholeplasmatales; Acholeplasmataceae.